AAUGUAGAAUUUGUUCGGAGAAACUAUUCAGUUGGAUUACAAUGUAAUUCGAUCCUUCUCUAAAACAAUACUCUCAAUCACAUUACUAAGGUAUGGAUAUAUUAUAUCAAACCCCUAAUGUGAUUAUUCCUUCUUAUAUGAUUCAUUUGAGUCGUAUAGGAACGCUUUCCUUUAUUACGCUCGAUACUUCGGUAGAAGAUUCCCGAAUCAUAUCUUAGAGUAUUCAACCUCUCAUAACGAGGAUUAGAGAUCCCUUGUUGCGCAUUCACUUGCCUCCAUGGCUAAGUGGCUUAACCCCAACUAUGCCGUGGACACCCGCGGAUGGAGUGACUUUGACAUAAUCAAAGAUCAAGGACCUAACCACAAGACAACUAUGAUGCCUCAGGUCAAAGGA
This 394-nucleotide long non-coding RNA is filed under the name Malus domestica (apple). RNAcentral describes it as "long non-coding RNA (MDOM_LNC002039)". Lineage: Eukaryota; Viridiplantae; Streptophyta; Magnoliopsida; Rosales; Rosaceae. The record is from RNAcentral.